RNAcentral lists this ribosomal RNA (468 nucleotides) under uncultured bacterium. RNAcentral's name for it is "partial 16S ribosomal RNA". It matches the Rfam family "Bacterial small subunit ribosomal RNA", at positions 28 to 507 of the family's 1533-position model. The record is from RNAcentral.
GACGAACGCUGGCGGCGUGCUUAACACAUGCAAGUCGAACGGAAAGGCCCUGCUUUUGUGGGGUGCUCGAGUGGCGAACGGGUGAGUAACACGUGAGUAACCUGCCCUUGACUUUGGGAUAACUUCAGGAAACUGGGGCUAAUACCGGAUAGGAGCUCCUGCUGCAUGGUGGGGGUUGGAAAGUUUCGGCGGUUGGGGAUGGACUCGCGGCUUAUCAGCUUGUUGGUGGGGUAGUGGCUUACCAAGGCUUUGACGGGUAGCCGGCCUGAGAGGGUGACCGGCCACAUUGGGACGGAGAUACGGCCCAGACUCCUACGGGAGGCAGCAGUGGGGAAUAGUGCACAAUGGGCGGGAGCCUGAUGCAGCAACGCCGCGUGCGGGAUGACGGCCUGCGGGUUGUAAACCGCUUUCGCCUGUGACGAAGCGUGAGUGACGGUAAUGGGUAAAGAAGCACCGGCUAACUACGUG